Molecule: long non-coding RNA, 879 nt
Organism: Brassica oleracea var. oleracea
Lineage: Eukaryota; Viridiplantae; Streptophyta; Magnoliopsida; Brassicales; Brassicaceae
Exons: 4
Source: RefSeq, a predicted model, not a curated record
UAUUACAGAGUAAAAGGUGAAAGAUUGUUAGUCCAUACUAUGCCUAUGCAGAAAAGCAGAAGAAACCCGGAAUCAUCUAUUCUUCAACACAUCAAUGGGACAAACAACUACCUUUCUGUUCAGAUAUGCGUUCCGAUCUGCCAUCGAUCAUAUUUGGAGAGGAUGAAACCGACGCACGGCGAGAAACCUCUACCAAAAGCUGUUCAAAUCAGGAAAUAGACGUAUCAGGACAGGAUGGCGAAGUGGCUUGAAUACUCUUCGACAACAACAUCAACAACUUCAGCAGAUGAGUGGAAUGUCGAUUUUGUGGUUUGAUAAUUGACCAUUCAAUUCAAAAAAAGUUACAAAAAUUUAAGGAAUUUUCAAUAAUAUCUAUCUAUCUAUAUAUAUAUAUAUAAAAAUAUGUUAGCUUCCCUCUUCCACGUCACUAAAUAGCUUAAUAUAGUGGUGACAUGUGUCCCAUUUAGCAAAGUGAUGCGUUUCAUUUAUCGUCUUCAUGAACCAGGCAAUGUUUCUAGGGUUUCGUCUCUUGUUCUGUCUUCAACACCAAAACAUUUCUUCUGUGUUCUGAAACCAAAACGAUGGACUGGCGAGGCGGAGAGAAAAAUAUAGAACGGCUGAGAGAUCAGAUCCGUUGUUGAAGCUCGAUUGUGAUGCGUUUUAGAAGCAUGGUCUGGAAAUCUUCUACGAGGGCUGACUUUAUCUACGGAGAUAGCUCGAUGGGUUCGAUCACAUGCUCUGUUCUGUAAUUUGUUUCUUCGUUGAGGUUGAAUCGAAGAACAGAGGUCGGAGACCAGAGGCUCUGUAGUGGAUUUGUUUACCAUCAUCUACCUUUUUUCUGAAACUUUACCAUCAUCUACCUUUCAACAACUUUUCGAU